ACGGGUGAGUAACACGUGACUAACCUACCUUCCAGUGGGGGAUAACCUCGGGAAACCGGGGCUAAGACCGCAUAAUCUCGCGAGGUGAGAAUCCUUGUGAGCAAAGGGGUAAGACGCUGGUAGAGGGGGUCGCGGCCGAUUAGCUAGUUGGCGGGGUAACGGCCCACCAAGGCGAUGAUCGGUAGCCGGCCUGAGAGGGCGCACGGCCACACUGGAACUGAAACACGGUCCAGACUCCUACGGGAGGCAGCAGUGGGGAAUUUUGCACAAUGGGGGAAACCCUGAUGCAGCAACGCCGCGUGGAGGAUGAAGUCCCUUGGGACGUAAACUUCUUUCGACCGGGACGAUAAUGACGGUACCGGUGGAAGAAGCCCCGGCUAACUCCGUGCCAGCAGCCGCGGUAAUACGGGGGGGGCAAGCGUUGUUCGGAAUCAUUGGGCGUAAAGGGCGCGUAGGCGGUGCGGUAAGUCUUCUGUGAAACCCCUGGGCUCAACCCAGGGCCUGCAGGGGAAACUGCCGUGCUGGAGUGUGGGAGAGGUGCGCGGAAUUCCCGGUGUAGCGGUGAAAUGCGUAGA
This 575-nucleotide ribosomal RNA is filed under the name uncultured bacterium. Its description in RNAcentral is "bacterial SSU rRNA". It matches the Rfam family "Bacterial small subunit ribosomal RNA", at positions 102 to 694 of the family's 1533-position model. The record is from RNAcentral.